This 253-nucleotide ribosomal RNA is filed under the name uncultured bacterium. RNAcentral's name for it is "partial 16S ribosomal RNA". It matches the Rfam family "Bacterial small subunit ribosomal RNA", at positions 524 to 776 of the family's 1533-position model. The record is from RNAcentral.
UACGUAGGGACCAAGCGUUGUUCGGAUUUACUGGGCGUAAAGGGCGCGUAGGCGGCGUGUUAAGUCAGCUGUGAAAUCUCCAAGCUUAACUUGGAACGGUCAGCUGAUACUGAUGUGCUAGAGUGCAGAAGGGGCAACCGGAAUUCUUGGUGUAGCGGUGAAAUGCGUAGAUAUCAAGAGAAACACCUGAGGUGAAGACGGGUUGCUGGGCUGACACUGACGCUGAGGCGCGAAAGCUAGGGUAGCAAACGGG